CUCCUACGGGAGGCAGCAGUAAGGAAUAUUGGUCAAUGGACGCAAGUCUGAACCAGCCAUGCCGCGUGGAGGAUGAAGGUCCUCUGGAUUGUAAACUUCUUUAUUGGAAGAAACCCCGAUUUCUAGUUGGGGUUGACGGUACCAGAUGAAUAAGCACCGGCUAACUCCUUGCCAGCAGCCGCGGUAAUAC
RNAcentral lists this ribosomal RNA (190 nucleotides) under uncultured bacterium. RNAcentral describes it as "partial 16S ribosomal RNA". It matches the Rfam family "Bacterial small subunit ribosomal RNA", at positions 336 to 526 of the family's 1533-position model. The record is from RNAcentral.